UGUUGGAAGUGGAACAGAAGCGAUCACACCUUUAGCCGUUGGAUCGACAAACGAAGUGCUUUUGGGUAACACAACCGCGGAUCCAAGUUGGGGAACUGUAGGUAACGCGGCACUUACGAACUCAAGUAUUACCCUUUCUAACGGUAAUAACAUCACGGUUACGGGUUCACCUGUCUCUUUAGGGGGGACAGCUUCGUUUAAUCUUACGGGAACAACUCAAUAUUGCGUUCAGGU
This 234-nucleotide ribosomal RNA is filed under the name uncultured eukaryote. Its description in RNAcentral is "partial small subunit ribosomal RNA". The record is from RNAcentral.